This 1295-nucleotide ribosomal RNA is filed under the name uncultured prokaryote. RNAcentral describes it as "partial 16S ribosomal RNA". It matches the Rfam family "Bacterial small subunit ribosomal RNA", at positions 25 to 1353 of the family's 1533-position model. The record is from RNAcentral.
CAGGAUGAACGCUGGCGGCGUGCCUAAUACAUGCAAGUCGAGCGAAAUCCCUUGGAUUCGUCUGAGGAGGAAAGCGGCGAACGGGUGAGUAACACGUAGGUGACCUGCCCCGAAGACGGGAAUAACCGCUGGAAACGGCGGCUAAUACCCGAUGUGCUCGGUGAUUCGGUUCAUCGAGUAAAGCUCCGGCGCUUCGGGAUGGACCUGCGGCCUAUCAGCUAGUUGGUGGGGUAACGGCUCACCAAGGCUAAGACGGGUAGGGGGCGUGAGAGCGCGAUCCCCCACACUGGCACUGAGACACGGGCCAGACUCCUACGGGAGGCAGCAGUCGGGGAUAUUGCACAAUCGGCGAAAGCCGGAGGCAGCAACGCCGCGUGGAGGAAGAAGGUCUUCGGGUUGUAAACUCCUUUUCUGGGGGAAGAGAUAGGACGGUACCCUAGGAAUAAGUCUCGGCUAACUACGUGCCAGCAGCCGCGGUAAAACGUAGGAGGCGAGCGUUAUCCGGAUUUACUGGGCGUAAAGCGCGUGCAGGCGGUUUCUUAAGUCGGACGUGAAAGCUCCCGGCUCAACUGGGAGAGGUCGUUCGAAACUAGGAAACUUGAGGGUGGUAGAGGAGAGUGGAAUUCCCGGUGUAGUGGUGAAAUGCGUAGAUAUCGGGAGGAACACCAGUGGCGAAGGCGGCUCUCUGGGCCAUUCCUGACGCUAAGACGCGAAAGCUAGGGGAGAGAACGGGAUUAGAAACCCCGGUAUUCCUAGCCGUAAACGAUGUCAACUAGGUGUAGGGGGUAUCCAACCCCCCUGUGCUGCAGCUAACGCGUUAAGUUGACCGCCUGGGGACUACGGCCGCAAGGCUAAAACUCAAAGGAAUUGACGGGGACCCGCACAAGCAGCGGAGCGUGUGGUUUAAUUCGAGACUACGCGAAGAACCUUACCAGGGUUUGACAUGAUGGUGGUAGAGAAGUGAAAGCGGAUCGACCCUUCGGGGAGCCAUCACAGGUGCUGCAUGGCUGUCGUCAGCUCGUGCCGUGAGGUGUUAGGUUAAGUCCUGUAACGAGCGCAACCCUCGUCGCUAGUUAUACGUGUCUAACGAGACUGCCGGGAUAAGCCGGAGGAAGGUGAGGAUGACGUCAAGUCAGCAUGGCCUUUAUAUCCUGGGCUACACACACGCUACAAUGGCCGGUACAAUGGGUAGCAAGCCGCGAGGCGGAGCCAAUCCUCUAAAGCCGGUCUCAGUUCGGAUUGCAGGCUGCAACUCGCCUGCAUGAAGUCGGAGUUGCUAGUAACCGCGCGUCAGC